Long non-coding RNA from Strongylocentrotus purpuratus (purple sea urchin), 1160 nucleotides. RefSeq lists it as uncharacterized. NCBI's taxonomy places the organism in Eukaryota, Metazoa, Echinodermata, Echinoidea, Camarodonta, Strongylocentrotidae. The transcript has 4 exons. The record is from RefSeq and is a predicted model, not a curated record.
UGGGUGGUAUUCUCGAAAGCGGCCUAAGUUAAAUCAGUGGCCUAAACCUGGUUUAAACCAUGGACUAUCUUUUUUGCUAUUCUCGAAGGUGGCCUAAAGAUAAGCCAGGCUUAAAUACGUCAUAGUUCGGCCUAACUUUAGGCGGCUCAGAGGGCAGGUUUAAAUACGUCAUAGUUCGGCCUAACUUCGCGUGACGUCACUUUUUAGUUAAAUCGACUGUCCGCGGAGAGUGAACGGUUCUUUUCAAUUGAUGCAUGGGGAUGAAAAAAGAAGGCCUCUCCCAAGCUAUGGUGUUCUUGUGAAGUCCAUCUCAAUAGCCAUUGCCAGGAGAUGGGAGCAAUACAUCUCAAUUCCUUCAACAAGAGAGGCAGUCCUGCAGAGUGCAGACCCAACAUGAAUGUUAUAAUUACUGCCAUUUCCCUGGCGUUAAUAUGGUGCACCCACAUAGGCAUCUCCAAGCCAGUUGGCCCAACACCAGUUAUUUCCUGAACAGGAAAAAUAGAUACUCCAUUUUUCUUGGAAAGUCUGCUGGAUGAUGUUUUUCUUCAGUAAAAUAAAUGAAGGCAAAUUCCCCGAUAACUGAGACAAAUUCAGAGAGAGGAAGGAGAACUACUGAGCUGCUGAAUUUCUGACAGACAUACUUGCAAGGACUAUGAAGUUCUACUUAGCCUCUUCAAUGAACCAGACUCCAUCUGCUGUAACUGUGACUGCAUGGGGAUCAAUACCUUUGUAUUAUAAUCCUCAUAACAUGAAGAUAUGGUAACAAACAAGCAACCAUUGAUAAAAAGCCUGAUAUGUCCUUGUUGUGUGUGUGUGAACCACAAAGCAACCAUCACUCAUAAGGAUGUUUUUAUGUACAUCAGAUGUUCAUUGUUUCACUGGAAAAAUUGUGAUUUUGAAUCAUUUAAGAAAUCAUGUUUUAUAAUGUGUUUAUAAUAUAGUGCAAGUCAUGAUAUAACAGAUUCCCUGCAAAAGAAACACGGCUCAAAAGUAGACUAUGCUUUGUUUAAAAAAAAUGGGAGAAGGUAAUGUAACAAAUACAUAACAUUUAAUUCUAAUAGUUUCAAGUAGCAGAUUAUGAGGCUAUUGGAGCUUAAUAUUUGAUUUUGACAUUCAAUUUUAUAAUCGUAUUCAUCGUGAAUUACAAUCUUUUCUGUUUU